UCGCUCCGCGACCCCAGGUCAGGCGGGACUC
Molecule: ribosomal RNA, 31 nt
Filed under: Pseudoclausena chrysogyne
Lineage: Eukaryota; Viridiplantae; Streptophyta; Magnoliopsida; Sapindales; Meliaceae
Description: partial 26S ribosomal RNA
Source: RNAcentral